This 429-nucleotide ribosomal RNA is filed under the name Bacteroidota bacterium. RNAcentral's name for it is "Bacteroidetes bacterium partial 16S ribosomal RNA". It matches the Rfam family "Bacterial small subunit ribosomal RNA", at positions 355 to 776 of the family's 1533-position model. The record is from RNAcentral. Lineage: Bacteria; Pseudomonadati; Bacteroidota.
UAGGGAAUCUUCCGCAAUGGACGCAAGUCUGACGGAGCAACGCCGCGUGAGUGAAGAAGGAUUUCGGUUCGUAAAACUCUGUUGUUAGAGAAGAACAGCGCAUAGAGUAACUGUUAUGCGUGUGACGGUAUCUAACCAGAAAGCCACGGCUAACUACGUGCCAGCAGCCGCGGUAAUACGUAGGUGGCAAGCGUUGUCCGGAUUUACUGGGCGUAAAGCGAGCGCAGGCGGUCAAUUAAGUCUGAUGUGAAAGCCCCCGGCUCAACCGGGGAGGGUCAUUGGAAACUGGUUGACUUGAGUGCAGAAGAGGAGAGUGGAAUUCCAUGUGUAACGGUGAAAUGCGUAGAUAUAUGGAGGAACACCAGUGGCGAAGGCGACUCUCUGGUCUGUAACUGACGCUGAGGCUCGAAAGCGUGGGUAGCAAACAGG